AACAGGACUUUCUCUGCACAAGCUCUCUUUUUGCCUGCUGCUGUCUGCAUAAGAUGUGACUUAUUCCUCCUUGCCUGCUGCCAUGAUUGUGAGGUCUCCCCAGUCAUGUGGAACUGUAAGUCCAAUAAACCUUUUUCUUUUUUAAAUUGCCCAGUCUCGGGUAUGUCUUUAUCAGCAGCACAAAAACGGACUAAUACAGUAUCCAAAUUAAAAUUUAGAAUGAAAAGCAGGUUUCAUCUUCAAUUCAUCCCUAGAUCACCACUUGGAUCUCUGCUCCAGAUUUCCAGGGUACCAAGUCUGCAUGCACACGAAAGAUUCAGGAAGAUUGUACAUCUUGGCCAACAUGGUCCUACUUUAUACCCGUUGUCCUGGCAUAAUUAGUAAUGGCACCCUCCUUAACUCUCAAAAGUGUCCUAGUUUAUGUGAAAAGUCAUAAGGCCAUCCAAAGUAAGGAGGAAUCAGCAGUGACUAAACAUAAACUUUUGGGAGCAGGUUUAUUUAUUCAAAUCUGUCCAAGCCUUCAGAUGAAGCUAAGUAGGCUUGGCAUUGUAUUGUAAGUGUACAGAUAAUUAAUCUAAAUAAACUUCCAAAAUAUCCCAACCAGAAUGGUUCAAUAAAAGCAGUAUGUCAUAAAUUUUAAAAUCACAGACAAUGUAGGAAAGGCUAUCAAUAUGUGAAAAAUAUUGAACUUCACCAAUAAUCAAGAAAGAAAUUUCAAUAACAAUGAGGUAACAUUUUCCUUAUCAGAAUAUUUAAAAAUUACUUAAAACUCUAAUACCCAGUGUCAGGAUAGGUGUGAUCAAAGGAACUCUCAUAUACUGCUGGUAGGUUUCUAAAUUGGCUAAUACAAACUUUCUGGAAUGCUAUUUGAUAACAUGUUUUAAACAUCUUUAUCAAGUUUAUAUUCCAUAACCUGUUAUUAAUUCAGAAAAUACUUAUUGAAUACCUACUACGUGCUAGGCACUAAGGGAUAAAGUGGUAAAAGAGAUAGGUGCUAUUUUCUCCAAAUGGGAUUUCAGUCUAGUGGAGGAACAGACAUUACAGGGAAAAAAACACACAAGAAUUUAAAUUACAGUUUGCAGUAAAUACCCAAAAAGUAGACUCACAUGAUGCUGAGAGAGGAACAUGUGCUUAGUACAUGUAUUGGAUGAGGUAUCAGGAAAUGGGUUGAGCAGCUGAAGAGGGAGGGAAGGGUGAAUAAAGGCUUGAAUAAAGGCUUGAAUAAAGGUUUUGAGGCUGGAAGAAGCUUAGCACAUUGGAGUAAAAGGAAGGAACCACUAGGUUGGAGUAAGAGAGUACGGGGGAAAAAGUGGCAAGCUGAAGGUAGAGAGUGAGGAGGGAUUGCAACUAAGAUUUUUAUCUUAACAGCCACUCAAGGAUUGUGAAAGCAGAUUGGUAUUUUUGAAACUCUCUGAUGGUGGCUUCAAUGAGGGUGGGGAAGACAGAAAUAAAUAGAAAUAUUAAAGAUAUUUAGGAAGUGGAAUCAACAGGAUCUAGUGACUAAAUAGAUGGGGGUAGUGAGGGAGAGAAGAGAUGUCACUGAUGGGUUCCAGUUUUGAAGGUUUGGUAGGGGAGAAAAAACAAGGAAGAUAUUGAAUCUUUUCUGGAUAUUCUAUAUCUAAGAUGUUAUAAGACAUACAAGUUGAGAUUACAAGUAGAUAUUUAGUUAUGUAAGUUUGGAGCUUAGCAGAGAGUACUGGGGCUGAAGAUACAAAGAUGGGAAUCAUAGCAUGUGGAUGGUAUUUGAAAGCUUCGCCUUGGGUGACAUGGUUUUGAGACAAAUAUGGAGUGAGAAGAGAAGACCAAGUUCCUAGUCCUAAUGGACUCUAGCCCAUAUAGAACUAGGAGAAGAAGCAUGAGUUUGUAAGGAAGAUGGGGACAGAAGCAGGGAAGGGCCAAUAGUUACUUUUCUAAUAAUCUAGCUUAGGGACACAGAAAUGAGGAUCUAGAUAGAUUUAUGCAUGAAGAGGCUCACUGUGGCAUUUACAGUAGUGAAAAAUUAGCUUCAACCUCAAAUGUC
This is a long non-coding RNA of Sapajus apella (tufted capuchin), 2020 nucleotides long. RefSeq lists it as uncharacterized. The transcript is spliced from 2 exons. NCBI's taxonomy places the organism in Eukaryota, Metazoa, Chordata, Mammalia, Primates, Cebidae. The record is from RefSeq and is a predicted model, not a curated record.